UUCAAAUAGGGCAGUUGGCUGUUGAAAAGUUGGGCCAGCAACUAAUGGUAAUCAUAUAUCCACAAGAACAAAGGCUGGUCGGGGGCGAAAAAAGGAAAAGAAAAGUGGGUUGGUGCUAGGUUUUAUGUAUAUAGAUAUCCACGCAUACAGAGAAGAAGAGGAGGGGGCAGCCAAUUUUCUCAUAUACACACAGACGAGAGCUGCUUGGGCUACAAGGGAGGAAACAUCAAACAAGGUCGGCAACUGCUGAAAUAUAUAUACAAAUCGGCGGCUACAAAGGAGGAGACAAGAACAAGCAAAAGAAAAAAAAAACGAGGAGGCUGCCGGAAAUUGGUUUGUUAAUUGGAAGAACAUUACAAGUGACUGAAUUGGAUUCUCUAACCAAAAGAAUUGCUGUCUCUGUAAUGCACACAACAAAGGAGGCUGAAUUAAUCAUAUAAAAACACAAAAAAAAGAGGCAGCUUCUGGGAUAGUUCAGCAGUUUGAGGAAAUAAAGAAAAACAUGGGCUGCAACAUAUAUAUUUACACA
Molecule: long non-coding RNA, 529 nt
Filed under: Olea europaea (common olive)
Lineage: Eukaryota; Viridiplantae; Streptophyta; Magnoliopsida; Lamiales; Oleaceae
Description: long non-coding RNA (OEUR_LNC014888)
Source: RNAcentral